UGGAGCGGUGUCCGAGUGGUUGAAGGAGACGGUUUCGAAAACCGUUGAACUCGCGAGGGUUCCGGGGGUUCGAAUCCCCCCUGCUCCGAC
This 90-nucleotide transfer RNA is filed under the name Spirochaetia bacterium. Its description in RNAcentral is "tRNA-Ser". It matches the Rfam family "tRNA". Rfam says of the family: Transfer RNA (tRNA) molecules are approximately 80 nucleotides in length. Their secondary structure includes four short double-helical elements and three loops (D, anti-codon, and T loops). The record is from RNAcentral. Lineage: Bacteria; Pseudomonadati; Spirochaetota; Spirochaetia.